This 1311-nucleotide ribosomal RNA is filed under the name uncultured Bacillota bacterium. RNAcentral's name for it is "uncultured Firmicutes bacterium 16S ribosomal RNA". It matches the Rfam family "Bacterial small subunit ribosomal RNA", at positions 94 to 1430 of the family's 1533-position model. Lineage: Bacteria; Bacillati; Bacillota. The record is from RNAcentral.
AGCGGCGGACGGGUGAGUAACGCGUGGGCAACCUGCCUUCACAGAGGGAUAGCCAAAGGAAACUUUGAUUAAAACCUCAUAAAGCCGGAAUAGUGCAUAAUAUACUGGCCAAAGAUUUAUCGGUGAAAGAUGGGCCCGCGUCUGAUUAGCUAGUUGGUGGGGUAACGGCUCACCAAGGCAACGAUCAGUAGCCGACCUGAGAGGGUGAUCGGCCACAUUGGAACUGAGACACGGUCCAAACUCCUACGGGAGGCAGCAGUGGGGAAUAUUGCACAAUGGGCGCAAGCCUGAUGCAGCAACGCCGCGUGAACGAAGAAGGCCUUCGGGUCGUAAAGUUCUGUCCAUAGGGAAGAAACAAAUGACGGUACCUAUGGAGGAAGCCCCGGCUAAAUACGUGCCAGCAGCCGCGGUAAUACGUAUGGGGCAAGCGUUAUCCGGAAAUAUUGGGCGUAAAGAGUGCGUAGGUGGUGGCUUAAGCGCAGGGUUUAAGGCAAUGGCUUAACUAUUGUUCGCCUUGCGAACUGGGUCACUUGAGUACAGGAGAGGAAAGCGGAAUUCCUAGUGUAGCGGUGAAAUGCAUAGAUAUUAGGAGGAACACCGGUGGCGAAGGCGGCUUUCUGGACUGCAACUGACACUGAGGCACGAAAGCGUGGGUAGCAAACAGGAUUAGAUACCCUGGUAGUCCACGCCGUAAACGAUGAGCACUAGGUGUCGGCCACUAAAGGUCGGUGCCGCAGUUAACGCAUUAAGUGCUCCGCCUGGGGAGUACGCACGCAAGUGUAAAACUCAAAGGAAUUGACGGGGACCCGCACAAGCAGCGGAGCAUGUGGUUUAAUUCGAAGCAACGCGAAGAACCUUACCAGAGCUUGACAUCCCUCUGACAGAUCCUUAAUCGGAUUCUUCUUCGGACAGAGGAGACAGGUGGUGCAUGGUUGUCGUCAGCUCGUGUCGUGAGAUGUUGGGUUAAGUCCCGCAACGAGCACAACCCUUAUCAUUAGUUGCCAUCAUUAGGUUGGGCACUCUAGUGAGACUGCCGGGGACAACUCGGAGGAAGGUGGGGAUGACGUCAAAUCAUCAUGCCCCUUAUGUUCUGGGCUACACACGUGCUACAAUGGUCGGUACAGAAAGCAGCGAAACCGUGAGGUGAAGCCAAUCUCCAAAACCGAUCUCAGUUCGGAUUGUAGGCUGCAACUCGCCUACAUGAAGUCGGAGUUGCUAGUAAUCGCAGAUCAGAAUGCUGCGGUGAAUGCGUUCCCGGGUCUUGUACACACCGCCCGUCACACCAUGGAAGUUGGGGGUGCCCGAAGUUGG